Molecule: ribosomal RNA, 433 nt
Filed under: uncultured bacterium
Lineage: Bacteria
Description: partial 16S ribosomal RNA
Rfam family: Bacterial small subunit ribosomal RNA
Source: RNAcentral
AACGAACGCUGGCGGCAUGCCUAACACAUGCAAGUCGAACGAGACCUUCGGGUCUAGUGGCGCACGGGUGCGUAACGCGUGGGAACCUGCCCUUAGGUUCGGAAUAACUCCCCGAAAGGUGUGCUAAUACCGGAUAAUGUCUUCGGACCAAAGAUUUAUCGCCCUUGGAUGGGCCCGCGUUGGAUUAGCUAGUUGGUAGGGUAAAAGCCUACCAAGGAGACGAUCCAUAGCUGGUCUGAGAGGAUGAUCAGCCACACUGGGACUGAGACACGGCCCAGAAUCCUACGGAGGGCAGCAGUGGGGAAUAUUAGACGAGGGACGAAAGCCUGAUCAAGCAAUGCCGCGUGAGUGAGGAAGGGCUUAGGGUUGUAAAGCUGUUUUACACGGGAUGAUAAUGACAGUACCGGGAGAAUAAGCUCCGGCUAACUCCGUG